GCCGAUGGACAAUGCCAUGCCCUUCGGGGGAAAGAUUUAUCGGGGAUGGAUGAGCCUCGAUCAUGGUGGGGUAAAGGCCUACCAAGGCGACGAUCCAUAGCUGGUCUGAGACCACAUUGGGACUGAGACACGGCCCGAUGACGUACAAGUGGGGAAUAUUGGACAAUGGGCGCAAGCCUGAUCCAGCGGUGGGAAUAAUGCAGUACCAUGCCGCGUGAGUGAUGAAGCGGAUGCUUAGGAUUGUAAAGCUCUUUCACACGGUAUCCGGAGAAGAAGCCCCGGCUAACUUCGUGCCAGCAGCCGCGGUAAUACGAAGCGUUGGAAACUGGGGCUGCGUUGUUCGGAAUUACUGGGCGUAAAGCGCGAUAUUUAAGUCAGGGGUGAAAUCCCAGAGCUCAACUCUGGAACUGCCUUUGAUACUGGCCGAUAAAACUAUCUUGAGUAUGGAAGAGGUAACCGUACCAGUCAUGAAUGGAAUUGCGAGUGAAAUUCGUAGAUAUUCGCAGGAACACCAGUGGCGAAGGCCGAUGACAAACGGCACGCUGAGGUGCGAAACAGGAUUAGCCAGUGACGGUAAUACCCUCCGUAAACGAUGAAUGUUAGCCGUCGGCAAGUUUACUUGUCGGUGGCGCAGCUAACGCCGUGACGUAAUUAUUAAACAUUCCGCCCGGCCAGUAAAUUUGCCCAUGUCG
RNAcentral lists this ribosomal RNA (692 nucleotides) under Neorhizobium huautlense. RNAcentral's name for it is "partial 16S ribosomal RNA". It matches the Rfam family "Bacterial small subunit ribosomal RNA", at positions 194 to 873 of the family's 1533-position model. Lineage: Bacteria; Pseudomonadati; Pseudomonadota; Alphaproteobacteria; Hyphomicrobiales; Rhizobiaceae. The record is from RNAcentral.